GGGAAACCCUACAUCCAGUUUCUGGAGCCUCUGGAGGCUGGUCGCCCCACAAAGCUGACCUGCACCGUGUCACUGGAAUCUGGUGGGGGACACCCUCUCCUGUUCUCCUGGGUGGGGGAGGCAGUUGACAUCAUGGACCCAGGGACCCUCCACUCCUCGGAGCUCACCCUCACCCCGAGGCCCCAGGACCACGGCUCCAACCUCACCUGUCAGGUGACACUCCAAGGAUCUCAGGGGACCCUGGAGAGAACCGUGCGGCUCAAUGUCUCCUAUGCUCCACAGUUGGUGAUCACGAGAAUAUCUCAGGAAAGCUUCACAGAUCUGAAUGGCACAUCACUGCCCAUCCUGGAGGGCCAGUUCCUGCGCCUGGUCUGUGUGGCCGACAGCAACCCCCCUGCCAGGCUGAGCUGGCUCUGGGAGGGGAAACCCCUGAGCCCGUCCCAGCGCUCAGACNCCCAUCUCCAGCACAGGGGUCUUGGAGAUACCCCGCGUGGGGGUCGGGGAUGGAGGAGAAGUCACCUGCCGAGCUCAGCACCCGCUGGGCUCCCAGCAAGUUUCCUUCAGCCUCUCUGUGCAGAAAGGCCCCCCUUCCUGCAGCUGUGAGACUGAGGAGCCGCAGGGCUCCUGGCCCCUGGUCGUCACCCUGAUCAGAGGGGCCCUCAUGGGGGCUGGCUUCCUCCUCACCUAUGGGCUCACCUGGACCUACUACACCAGGUGUGCUGGCCACUCGGGUGCUGGGCUGAGGGGUGUGGCCGCGCCUCGCUCCCUGUCAUGAGGAGAUUCACCUGAGGAUGCAGAGCCCAGAGGACAGACGUGGGGACAUCACUGUCUGCUUCUCCCUGGAAACUCUUACCUCCAACCCUGUGUCGUUUGCAUCCACGAGCCUUUUUUUGUAGAGAUGACUUGUGACAGUAGGAAGAGUCAAGACCAUUGAAAGGAGACAUUCUGACUUACCUCGCCUAGUAUGAGGUUACUCAUGGUUUUGCAAGUAUCAAUAAUUCAUUGUUGGUUUUGCUUGGUUUUUGUCUUGAAAAUAGUAUUUUACAUAUGACUAUUCCUCAGUUAUGUGUGGACUCUAAAAUA
Non-coding RNA from Odocoileus virginianus texanus, 1083 nucleotides. The record is from RefSeq and is a predicted model, not a curated record. NCBI's taxonomy places the organism in Eukaryota, Metazoa, Chordata, Mammalia, Artiodactyla, Cervidae.